GGACGGGUGAGUAAUGCCUAGGAAUCUGCCUGGUAGUGGGGGACAACGUUUCGAAAGGAACGCUAAUACCGCAUACGUCCUACGGGAGAAAGCAGGGGACCUUCGGGCCUUGCGCUAUCAGAUGAGCCUAGGUCGGAUUAGCUAGUUGGUGAGGUAAUGGCUCACCAAGGCGACGAUCCGUAACUGGUCUGAGAGGAUGAUCAGUCACACUGGAACUGAGACACGGUCCAGACUCCUACGGGAGGCAGCAGUGGGGAAUAUUGGACAAUGGGCGAAAGCCUGAUCCAGCCAUGCCGCGUGUGUGAAGAAGGUCUUCGGAUUGUAAAGCACUUUAAGUUGGGAGGAAGGGUUGUAGAUUAAUACUCUGCAAUUUUGACGUUACCGACAGAAUAAGCACCGGCUAACUCUGUGCCAGCAGCCGCGGUAAUACAGAGGGUGCAAGCGUUAAUCGGAAUUACUGGGCGUAAAGCGCGCGUAGGUGGUUUGUUAAGUUGGAUGUGAAAUCCCCGGGCUCAACCUGGGAACUGCAUUCAAAACUGACAAGCUAGAGUAUGGUAGAGGGUGGUGGAAUUUCCUGUGUAGCG
RNAcentral lists this ribosomal RNA (584 nucleotides) under Pseudomonas reinekei. Its description in RNAcentral is "bacterial SSU rRNA". It matches the Rfam family "Bacterial small subunit ribosomal RNA", at positions 100 to 680 of the family's 1533-position model. The record is from RNAcentral. Lineage: Bacteria; Pseudomonadati; Pseudomonadota; Gammaproteobacteria; Pseudomonadales; Pseudomonadaceae.